This is a long non-coding RNA of Cyprinodon variegatus (sheepshead minnow), 655 nucleotides long. RefSeq lists it as uncharacterized. The record is from RefSeq and is a predicted model, not a curated record. NCBI's taxonomy places the organism in Eukaryota, Metazoa, Chordata, Actinopteri, Cyprinodontiformes, Cyprinodontidae. The transcript has 3 exons.
UGAAAGCUACAGCAACAUGACUUGAUAAACACAGUAAGAGCUACUCAUACUACACAUUUUUUCUACCUCAUAUUUUUAUUUCCUUUUCAGGGUGGAGAAAACAAAGAUGUUUGUAAAGAACUGGAGAGAAACCUUAGCCAACAAAGUGACUUGAUCAGAUAUGCAAUGGUGGAGAAUUACAAAAUUUUUGAAAAGUGCCUACAAGAAGGAGUCGAAAAAUCCAAAGAUUCAUUUGAAAAAAUCUUGAAGAACUUUCUCUAUCCUCCAAGAAAGAGUGGACGUGGUUUUCAUAGACAACUAAGAAAACUGGUCGAAAAUAAAGGGGUCCUGAAACUAAAACGUGGGCGGGAAAAAAACUUCAACACAAAGUUAAUUUCACUCCUGACAGAUAGCAUUGAUGAGGAAUUCAGAAAAACUUUCCCGAAUGACGGAAAAUGUGGUCCAAUCUACGGAGUAAUCAAUGAAUUUUCACUUGAUGUUGAAGGGCUAAAACAGAAGUACAGUGAUGUUGAACUACAGCUGGUAUUUCUGAAGAAUGAGGUAACUAAUGGGGAAUAGGGCUGGGCGAUAUAGAAAAAAAGCGUAUCGAUAAAAAAAAUGCAUAUUGAUCGAUAUUGAUAAUUAUUGAAAAGAUUUGAAACCAUAUUUUAUGUGC